AACACCGUGAGCCUCUCACAGGCUUCCUGUCUCUGGACAAAGCUUCAAGAACUUUCUGGAAAGAGAGAACGUUAAGAAAUGAUGGACACCUAGCAAGACUCCUGGGGGACAGCGAGGACGGGAAGGAGGCUCCACCAGAGCUGCACUUCCCACACAGCUGUCUGCAUUUUCUCAGAAACUGGACAAGCAGUUCUGCCUCCUGGCCUGGACGUGUGGCAAUAGCGAGGUCACCUUCUGCUUCGGGUAAUUUCCCUGGGAGGCGAGGCAGAUCCUUUCUGUACAGCUAUUUGUUUCAGGGAAGUAGCCUCCUGCCUCCGAUGGGGGCUGGGCCCUGGCGGCGGGAAGGGACGCUUUGUUCUUCUGACCAGUGCUGACAGUUUAAUUAAACCCAGCUUGAGACAGGG
This 404-nucleotide long non-coding RNA is filed under the name Rattus norvegicus (Norway rat). Its description in RNAcentral is "long non-coding RNA NONRATT001730". Lineage: Eukaryota; Metazoa; Chordata; Mammalia; Rodentia; Muridae. The record is from RNAcentral.